Molecule: transfer RNA, 64 nt
Filed under: Pseudocoladenia fabia
Lineage: Eukaryota; Metazoa; Arthropoda; Insecta; Lepidoptera; Hesperiidae
Also listed under: 2 other names
Description: Pseudocoladenia dan fabia tRNA-Thr
Rfam family: tRNA
About the family: Transfer RNA (tRNA) molecules are approximately 80 nucleotides in length. Their secondary structure includes four short double-helical elements and three loops (D, anti-codon, and T loops). Further hydrogen bonds mediate the characteristic L-shaped molecular structure. tRNAs have two regions of fundamental functional importance: the anti-codon, which is responsible for specific mRNA codon recognition, and the 3' end, to which the tRNAs corresponding amino acid is attached (by aminoacyl-tRNA synthetases). tRNAs cope with the degeneracy of the genetic code in two manners: having more than one tRNA (with a specific anti-codon) for a particular amino acid; and 'wobble' base-pairing, i.e. permitting non-standard base-pairing at the 3rd anti-codon position.
Source: RNAcentral
GUUUUUAUAGUUUAAUUAAAACAUUGGUCUUGUAAAUCAAAAUUAAAUAUUUAUUUUAAAAACU